This 253-nucleotide unclassified non-coding RNA is filed under the name uncultured Bacteroidota bacterium. RNAcentral describes it as "uncultured Bacteroidetes bacterium contains 16S-23S intergenic spacer region". It matches the Rfam family "Bacterial small subunit ribosomal RNA", at positions 524 to 776 of the family's 1533-position model. The record is from RNAcentral. Lineage: Bacteria; Pseudomonadati; Bacteroidota.
UACGGAGGAUGCGAGCGUUAUCCGGAUUUAUUGGGUUUAAAGGGUGCGUAGGCGACCUUAUAAGUCAGCGGUGAAAUUUUGCAGCUUAACUGUAACAGUGCCGUUGAUACUGUAGGGCUAGGAUUUGGUUGCUGUGGGUGGAAUGUGUGGUGUAGCGGUGAAAUGCUUAGAUAUCACACAGAAUAUCGAUUGCGAAGGCAGCUCACAAAGCCAAGAUUGACGCUGAGGCACGAAAGUGUGGGGAUCAAACAGG